GAAAUCCCAGCAGCAGCAGAGCACUGUGCUGUUGUCCUGUUCAAGAGAAUGUCAGAGAAGCUGAGUGAAGAUUGUGUUGAGUGGACCACAACAGCCCCAGCACAUUUAACUUGAAGAAAUGGUCAGCUGCUUGCUCAGCUCCCCUGCAUGCUUUCAGCUGCAGCAUGUAGUAGCUGGCAGUUGUGCUCCUUGAGAACAUGCUACCUGGAAGCAACAUCUCUGCCUGGGUGCUAUGGGCAUGCUAAUUAGUCCCUGGCCAAUGCUUCCACCCUCCCCAGUCCCAUAGAUCUGCUGCUGUUUCAGACCUACCAUUCAGAGGUGCAAGAAGAGGCAUUAAAGGCAGAGGUCACUCCUCCAACUCCAGAGGACAGAGUUUUGGCCCUGGAGGUGUUUGUGAAGCUCAGAGUGAGCGACUGGAAAGCAUGAGAAGAAUGGCUGAAGACAACAACUGGCAGCAUCUCUGCCCCCCAGGCUUUCCCUUUGCUCUGAGAGCUUUCUACCAGACAUUAGUCACAACUGAGACUGGGCUGACUUGCUGAUGUUGUACAAGGAAUUGCUCCUCCUUGGAGGCCUGGCUGAUGUAAUCAGAACUCACAAAUGGUAUCAGACCAAA
This is a long non-coding RNA of Pogoniulus pusillus (Red-fronted tinkerbird), 613 nucleotides long. RefSeq lists it as uncharacterized. The transcript has 3 exons. The record is from RefSeq and is a predicted model, not a curated record. Lineage: Eukaryota; Metazoa; Chordata; Aves; Piciformes; Lybiidae.